This 497-nucleotide ribosomal RNA is filed under the name uncultured bacterium. RNAcentral describes it as "partial 16S ribosomal RNA". It matches the Rfam family "Bacterial small subunit ribosomal RNA", at positions 28 to 507 of the family's 1533-position model. The record is from RNAcentral.
GAUGAACGCUGGCGGCGUGCCUAAUACAUGCCAGUCGAGCGAACAGACGAGGAGCUUGCUCCUCUGACGUUAGCGGCGGACGGGUGAGUAACACGUGGAUAACCUACCUAUAAGACUGGGAUAACUUCGGGAAACCGGAGCUAAUACCGGAUAAUAUAUUGAACCGCAUGGUUCAAUAGUGAAAGACGGUUUUGCUGUCACUUAUAGAUGGAUCCGCGCCGCAUUAGCUAGUUGGUAAGGUAACGGCUUACCAAGGCAACGAUGCGUAGCCGACCUGAGAGGGUGAUCGGCCACACUGGAACUGAGACACGGUCCAGACUCCUACGGGAGGCAGCAGUAGGGAAUCUUCCGCAAUGGGCGAAAGCCUGACGGAGCAACGCCGCGUGAGUGAUGAAGGUCUUCGGAUCGUAAAACUCUGUUAUUAGGGAAGAACAAAUGUGUAAGUAACUAUGCACGUCUUGACGGUACCUAAUCAGAAAGCCACGGGUAACUACGUG